UCCGGUUUGUCACCGGCAGUCUCCUUAGAGUUCCCACCAUUACGUGCUGGCAACUAAGGACAAGGGUUGCGCUCGUUGCGGGACUUAACCCAACAUCUCACGACACGAGCUGACGACAGCCAUGCAGCACCUGUGCAGGAUCUCCGAAGAGGGGCUCUCGUUUCUGAGAGCUUGCUCCUGCAUGUCAAGCCUAGGUAAGGUUCUUCGCGUUGCGUCGAAUUAAACCACAUGCUCCACCGCUUGUGCGGGCCCCCGUCAAUUCCUUUGAGUUUCAAUCUUGCGAUCGUACUCCCCAGGUGGAUUACUUAAUGCGUUAGCUACGGCCCUCGGGGGGUCGCUCCCCCAAGCGCCUAGUGCCCAUCGUUUACGGCGUGGACUAC
Molecule: unclassified non-coding RNA, 380 nt
Filed under: uncultured bacterium
Lineage: Bacteria
Description: contains 16S-23S intergenic spacer region
Source: RNAcentral